RNAcentral lists this ribosomal RNA (253 nucleotides) under uncultured bacterium. Its description in RNAcentral is "partial 16S ribosomal RNA". It matches the Rfam family "Bacterial small subunit ribosomal RNA", at positions 524 to 776 of the family's 1533-position model. The record is from RNAcentral.
UACGUAGGGGGCAAGCGUUGUCCGGAAUUAUUGGGCGUAAAGAGCGCGUAGGCGGUCCGAUAAGUCGGCUGUGAAAGUCAGGGGCUCAACCCUUGAAAGCCGGCCGAUAGUGUCGGACUAGAGUCCGGAAGAGGCAAGUGGAAUUCCCGGUGUAGCGGUGAAAUGCGCAGAUAUCGGGAGGAACACCAAUGGCGAAGGCAGCUUGCUGGGACGGUACUGACGCUGAGGCGCGAAAGCGUGGGGAGCAAACAGG